CACCUGUGAUGAAAAAAAUUUUUCAGUUCUGCUUCUGUAAAUUUAUUGAAGAUAACAAAAUCUUACCAAACCUUCUGAUCU
Molecule: small nucleolar RNA, 81 nt
Filed under: Aspergillus ruber CBS 135680
Lineage: Eukaryota; Fungi; Ascomycota; Eurotiomycetes; Eurotiales; Aspergillaceae
Source: RNAcentral